UGCUCUGAGACCCAGUGCCAGCACCCAGGU
Molecule: non-coding RNA, 30 nt
Filed under: Cricetulus griseus (Chinese hamster)
Lineage: Eukaryota; Metazoa; Chordata; Mammalia; Rodentia; Cricetidae
Source: RNAcentral